GCCUUCGGGGUGUAAAGGUAACACACUGGGCGGGUAUUCGAGAGGUCCAGGUUCGAGUCCCGGCGAGGGUA
RNAcentral lists this transfer RNA (71 nucleotides) under Stegodyphus mimosarum. It matches the Rfam family "tRNA". Rfam says of the family: Transfer RNA (tRNA) molecules are approximately 80 nucleotides in length. Their secondary structure includes four short double-helical elements and three loops (D, anti-codon, and T loops). Further hydrogen bonds mediate the characteristic L-shaped molecular structure. tRNAs have two regions of fundamental functional importance: the anti-codon, which is responsible for specific mRNA codon recognition, and the 3' end, to which the tRNAs corresponding amino acid is attached (by aminoacyl-tRNA synthetases). tRNAs cope with the degeneracy of the genetic code in two manners: having more than one tRNA (with a specific anti-codon) for a particular amino acid; and 'wobble' base-pairing, i.e. permitting non-standard base-pairing at the 3rd anti-codon position. Lineage: Eukaryota; Metazoa; Arthropoda; Arachnida; Araneae; Eresidae. The record is from Rfam by way of RNAcentral.